GGACGAACGCUGGCGGCGUGCUUAACACAUGCAAGUCGAACGCUGAAGCUUGGUGCUUGCACUGGGUGGAUGAGUGGCGAACGGGUGAGUAAUACGUGAGUAACCUGCCCUUGACUCUGGGAUAAGCCUGGGAAACUGGGUCUAAUACUGGAUAUGACAUGUCACCGCAUGGUGGUGUGUGGAAAGGGUUUUACUGGUUUUGGAUGGGCUCACGGCCUAUCAGCUUGUUGGUGGGGUAAUGGCUCACCAAGGCGACGACGGGUAGCCGGCCUGAGAGGGUGACCGGCCACACUGGGACUGAGACACGGCCCAGACUCCUACGGGAGGCAGCAGUGGGGAAUAUUGCACAAUGGGCGGAAGCCUGAUGCAGCGACGCCGCGUGAGGGAUGACGGCCUUCGGGUUGUAAACCUCUUUCAGCACGGAAGAAGCGAAAGUGACGGUACGUGCAGAAGAAGCGCCGGCUAACUACGU
RNAcentral lists this ribosomal RNA (472 nucleotides) under bacterium BW+. RNAcentral's name for it is "bacterial SSU rRNA". It matches the Rfam family "Bacterial small subunit ribosomal RNA", at positions 27 to 506 of the family's 1533-position model. The record is from RNAcentral.